AUGGUGUAUUGUUCUCAUUUGUUCAAGCAAAUUAACCAAAUUUAAAAACAUAUAAUUUUUUUUUGUCCAAAAUUUAUAUGGUAAUCUUCUUGGAAGGAAAAUGCUUUUUCUACAGAAAAUAUUUUAUUCACUGGAGUUAUUUUCUCCUGAGCAAAUGGAACCUUAGUUCCCAACUACCUUGAUGAUAGAUUCCUCUUGGAAAGUGU
RNAcentral lists this unclassified non-coding RNA (206 nucleotides) under Hevea brasiliensis (rubber tree). The record is from RNAcentral. Lineage: Eukaryota; Viridiplantae; Streptophyta; Magnoliopsida; Malpighiales; Euphorbiaceae.